Molecule: ribosomal RNA, 588 nt
Filed under: uncultured Methanoregula sp.
Lineage: Archaea; Methanobacteriati; Methanobacteriota; Methanomicrobia; Methanomicrobiales; Methanoregulaceae
Description: bacterial SSU rRNA
Rfam family: Archaeal small subunit ribosomal RNA
Source: RNAcentral
CUGCUCAGUAACACGUGGACAACCUACCCUAUGGAGGGGGAUAACCCCGGGAAACUGGGGAUAAUACCCCAUAGACUAUAGAUGCUGGAAUGCUUUGUAGUUGAAAGGUCCGCCGCCAUAGGAUGGGUCUGCGGCCGAUUAGGUUGUUGUUGGGGUAACGGCCCAACAAGCCUGUAAUCGGUACGGGUUGUGGGAGCAAGAGCCCGGAGAUGGAUUCUGAGACACGAAUCCAGGCCCUACGGGGCGCAGCAGGCGCGAAAACUUUACAAUGCGGGAAACCGUGAUAAGGGAACUCCGAGUGCCCGUAAAAUCGGGCUGUCCAUCUGUUUAAAUAACAGGUGAAGAAAGGGCCGGGCAAGACCGGUGCCAGCCGCCGCGGUAAUACCGGCGGCUCGAGUGGUGGCCACUAUUACUGGGCUUAAAGCGUUCGUAGCUGGUCUGUUAAGUCUCUGGGGAAAUCUACUGGCUUAACCAAUAGGCGUCUCAGGGAUACUGGCAGACUAGGGACCGGGAGAGGUGAGAGGUACUCCAGGGGUAGGAGUGAAAUCCUGUAAUCCUUGGGGGACCACCUGUGGCGAAGGCGUCUCA